Molecule: ribosomal RNA, 464 nt
Filed under: uncultured bacterium
Lineage: Bacteria
Description: SSU rRNA
Rfam family: Bacterial small subunit ribosomal RNA
Source: RNAcentral
AGGACAAACGCUGGCGGCGUGCCUAAGACAUGCAAGUCGAACGGAAGGCUUCGGCCUUGAGUGGCGGACGGGUGAGGAGCGCGUGGAGAACCUGCCCCGGGGUGGGGGAUAACAGUCGGAAACGAUUGCUAAGACCGCAUACGACCAUUCGUUGCAGGAUGAAUGGGGAAAGCAGCGAUGUGCCCUGGGAGGGCUCCGCGUCGGAUUAGCUAGUUGGUGGGGUAACGGCCUACCAAGGCUGCGAUCCGUAGCUGGUCUGAGAGGACGGCCAGCCACACUGGGACUGAGACACGGCCCAGACUCCUACGGGAGGCAGCAGUUAGGGAAUUUUGCAAUGGGCGAAAGCCUGAACGAGUGACGCCGCGUGCGGGAUGACGCCUUUCGGGUGUAAACCGCUUUUCCCAAGGACGAGGAUGGACGGUACUUGGGGAAUAAGUCUCGGCUAACUACGCGCCAGCAGCCGC